UGCCCUACGGGAGGCAGCAGUGGGGGAUAUUGCACAAUGGGGGGAACCCUGAUGCAGCGACGCCGCGUGAAGGAAGAAGUAUCUCGGUAUGUAAACUUCUAUCAGCAGGGAAGAAAAUGACGGUACCUGACUAAGAAGCCCCGGCUAACUACGUGCCAGCAGCCGCGGUAAUACGUAGGGGGCAAGCGUUAUCCGGAUUUACUGGGUGUAAAGGGAGCGUAGGCGGCAGUGCAAGUCAGAAGUGAAAGCCCGGGGCUCAACCCCGGGACUGCUCUUGGAGCUGCGUGGCUGGAGUGCAGGAGGGG
Molecule: ribosomal RNA, 305 nt
Filed under: uncultured bacterium
Lineage: Bacteria
Description: bacterial SSU rRNA
Rfam family: Bacterial small subunit ribosomal RNA
Source: RNAcentral